GUGGGGAAUAUUGCACAAUGGGCGAAAGCCUGAUGCAGCAACGCCGCGUGAGGGACGACGGCCUUCGGGUUGUAAACUGCUUUUGUACGGAACGAAACGGUCCUGGUUAAUACCUGGGGCUAAUGACGGUACCGUAAGAAUAAGCACCGGCUAACUACGUGCCAGCAGCCGCGGUAAUACGUAGGGUGCAAGCGUUAAUCGGAAUUACUGGGCGUAAAGCGUGCGCAGGCGGUUUUGUAAGACAGGCGUGAAAUCCCCGGGCUCAACCUGGGAAUUGCGCUUGUGACUGCAAGGCUGGAGUGCGGCAGAGGGGGAUGGAAUUCCGCGUGUAGCAGUGAAAUGCGUAGAUAUGCGGAGGAACACCGAUGGCGAAGGCAAUCCCCUGGGCCUGCACUGACGCUCAUGCACGAAAGCGUGGGGAGCAAACAGGAUUAGAUACCCCGGUAGUCC
This 450-nucleotide ribosomal RNA is filed under the name uncultured bacterium. Its description in RNAcentral is "partial 16S ribosomal RNA". It matches the Rfam family "Bacterial small subunit ribosomal RNA", at positions 354 to 796 of the family's 1533-position model. The record is from RNAcentral.